RNAcentral lists this ribosomal RNA (1235 nucleotides) under uncultured bacterium. Its description in RNAcentral is "bacterial SSU rRNA". It matches the Rfam family "Bacterial small subunit ribosomal RNA", at positions 38 to 1290 of the family's 1533-position model. The record is from RNAcentral.
GGGGGGGCGGCUGACUAGGCAUGCAGUCGAACGCGAGCUCUCUCCUCCGGGAGGGAUGCUCGAGUGGCGGACGGGUGAGUAAGGCGUUCCUGACGUGGCCCGAGGUGGGGGACAACCCGGGGAAACCCGGGCUAAUACCCCAUAAUCCCGUCGGCCCGCCGGGGCCGGCGGGCAAAGCUCCGGCGCCUCGGGAUCGGGGAACGUGGUAUCAGGUAGUUGGUAGGGUAAGGGCCUACCAAGCCCAAGACGCCUAGCGGGUGUGAGAGCAUGGCCCGCCACAUCGGGACUGAGACACUGCCCGGACUCCUACGGGAGGCUGCAGCCGCGAAUCUUCGGCAAUGCGCGCAAGCGUGACCGAGCAAUGCCGCGUGCGGGACGAAUCCCUUCGGGGUGUAAACCGCUGUCAGGGUCCAGGAAGGCCUGACCGGACCCAGAGGAAGGGCCGGCUGACUUCGUGCCAGCAGCCGCGGUAAUACGAAGGGCCCAAGCGUUAGUCGGAGUCACUGGGCUUAAAGGGUGCGCAGGCGGGGAUGUGCGUGUCUUGUGAAAGCCCACGGCUCAACCGUGGAAGGGCAGGGCAUACGACAUCCCUUGAGGCCGGCAGAGGGUGCCGGAACUCUAGGUGUAGCGGUGAAAUGCGUAGAUAUCUAGAGGAACACCGAUGGUGAAAGCAGGCACCUGGGCCGGACCUGACGCUGAGGCACGAAAGCGUGGGGAGCGAACGGGAUUAGAUACCCCGGUAGUCCACGCCGUCAACGUUGUGCACUAGACCCGGGAGGUGUUUGACGCCAUCCGGGUCGCAGGGAAACCGCAAGUGCACCGCCUGGGGAGUACGGUCGCAAGACUAAAACUCAAAGGAAUUGACGGGGGCUCACACAAGCGGUGGAGCAUGUGGCUUAAUUCGAGGCAACGCGAAGCACCUUACCCGGGCUUGACAUGCACGGAUUAGCCCCGGGAAACCGGGGUGACGCCCCUUUGGGGGUGAACGUGCACAGGUGCUGCAUGGCUGUCGUCAGCUCGUGCUGUGAAGUGUCGGGUUAAGUCCCUUAACGAGCGAAACUCCUGCCGCUAGUUGCAUCGGUGAUGCCGGGACUCUAGCGGACUGCGGUGUCAACCGGAGGAGGUGGGACGACGUCAGUCAUCAUGACCUAUGCCCGGGCCGGCACACGUGCCUUACAUUGCGCUACGCGCGAAGCGUAAUUCCGCAGGGUAGCAAUUCGCUUGAAGGCCGUUCA